RNAcentral lists this ribosomal RNA (497 nucleotides) under uncultured bacterium. RNAcentral describes it as "partial 16S ribosomal RNA". It matches the Rfam family "Bacterial small subunit ribosomal RNA", at positions 28 to 507 of the family's 1533-position model. The record is from RNAcentral.
GAUGAACGCUGGCGGCGUGCCUAAUACAUGCAAGUCGAGCGAACAGACGAGGAGCUUGCUCCUCUGACGUUAGCGGCGGACGGGUGAGUAAAACGUGGAUAACCUACUUAUAAGACUGGGAUAACUUCGGGAAACCGGAGCUAAUACCGGAUAAUAUAUUGAACCGCAUGGUUCAUUAGUGAAAGACGGUUUUGCUGUAACUUAUAGAUGGAUCCGCGCCGCAUUAGCUAGUUGGUAAGGUAACGGCUUACCAAGGCAACGAUGCGUAGCCGACCUGAGAGGGUGAUCGGCCACACUGGAACUGAGACACGGUCCAGACUCCUACGGGAGGCAGCAGUAGGGAAUCUUCCGCAAUGGGCGAAAGCUUGACGGAGCAACGCCGCGUGAGUGAUGAAGGUCUUCGGAUCGUAAAACUCUGUUAUUAGGGAAGAACAAAUGUGUAAGUAACUAUGCACGUCUUGACGGUACCUAAUCAGAAAGCCACGGCUAACUACGUG